This 253-nucleotide ribosomal RNA is filed under the name uncultured bacterium. RNAcentral's name for it is "partial 16S ribosomal RNA". It matches the Rfam family "Bacterial small subunit ribosomal RNA", at positions 524 to 776 of the family's 1533-position model. The record is from RNAcentral.
UACGUAGGGGGCGAGCGUUGUCCGGAUUUAUUGGGCGUAAAGCGCGCGUAGGCGGUGUCGCAAGUCGGCCGUGAAAUCUCCAGGCUCAACUUGGAGGGGUCGGGCGAGACUGCGGCGCUGGAGGCAGGCAGAGGGCGGUGGAAUUCCGGGUGUAGUGGUGGAAUGCGUAGAGAUCCGGAGGAACACCAGUGGCGAAGGCGGUGAGCUGGGCAGUUGCUGACACUGAGGCGCGACAGCGUGGGGAGCAAACAGG